GAUGAACGCUGGCGGCGUGCCUAAUACAUGCAAGUCGAGCGAACAGACGAGGAGCUUGCUCCUCUGACGUUAGCGGCGGACGGGUGAGUAACACGUGGAUAACCUACCUAUAAGACUGGGAUAACUUCGGGAAACCGGAGCUAAUACCGGAUAAUAUAUUGAACCGCAUGGUUCAAUAGUGAAAGACGGUUUUGCUGUCACUUAUAGAUGGAUCCGCGCCGCAUUAGCUAGUUGGUAAGGUAACGGCUUACCAAGGCAACGAUGUGUAGCCGACCUGAGAGGGUGAUCGGCCACACUGGAACUGAGACACGGCCCAGACUCCUACGGGAGGCAGCAGUAGGGAAUCUUCCGCAAUGGGCGAAAGCUUGACGGAGCAACGCCGCGUGAGUGAUGAAGGUCUUCGGAUCGUAAAACUCUGUUAUUAGGGAAGAACAAAUGUGUAAGUAACUAUGCACGUCUUGACGGUACCUAAUCAGAAAGCCACGGCUAACUACGUG
RNAcentral lists this ribosomal RNA (497 nucleotides) under uncultured bacterium. RNAcentral describes it as "partial 16S ribosomal RNA". It matches the Rfam family "Bacterial small subunit ribosomal RNA", at positions 28 to 507 of the family's 1533-position model. The record is from RNAcentral.